Molecule: ribosomal RNA, 730 nt
Filed under: Bacillus sp. 17(2021)
Lineage: Bacteria; Bacillati; Bacillota; Bacilli; Caryophanales; Bacillaceae
Description: bacterial SSU rRNA
Rfam family: Bacterial small subunit ribosomal RNA
Source: RNAcentral
AUGCAAGUCGAGCGGACAGAUGGGAGCUUGCUCCCUGAUGUUAGCGGCGGACGGGUGAGUAACACGUGGGUAACCUGCCUGUAAGACUGGGAUAACUCCGGGAAACCGGGGCUAAUACCGGAUGCUUGUUUGAACCGCAUGGUUCAAACAUAAAAGGUGGCUUCGGCUACCACUUACAGAUGGACCCGCGGCGCAUUAGCUAGUUGGUGAGGUAAUGGCUCACCAAGGCAACGAUGCGUAGCCGACCUGAGAGGGUGAUCGGCCACACUGGGACUGAGACACGGCCCAGACUCCUACGGGAGGCAGCAGUAGGGAAUCUUCCGCAAUGGACGAAAGUCUGACGGAGCAACGCCGCGUGAGUGAUGAAGGUUUUCGGAUCGUAAAGCUCUGUUGUUAGGGAAGAACAAGUGCCGUUCAAAUAGGGCGGCACCUUGACGGUACCUAACCAGAAAGCCACGGCUAACUACGUGCCAGCAGCCGCGGUAAUACGUAGGUGGCAAGCGUUGUCCGGAAUUAUUGGGCGUAAAGGGCUCGCAGGCGGUUUCUUAAGUCUGAUGUGAAAGCCCCCGGCUCAACCGGGGAGGGUCAUUGGAAACUGGGGAACUUGAGUGCAGAAGAGGAGAGUGGAAUUCCACGUGUAGCGGUGAAAUGCGUAGAGAUGUGUAGGAACACCAGUGGCGAAGGCGACUCUCUGGUCUGUAACUGACGCUGAGGAGCGAAAGCGUGAGGA